UAAUUAGAUGCGAGCCAUAAAAAUAUUGAAUGAAAAUAAGAGAAGAGAUGCCUGUAUUUUUUUUUUCUUGCUUUUGUCCUGGUUUUUGUCUUUUUCAGGCGUAGCACUUGUUUACCAAACUUCUUUUAAAGAAUUAUGAUCUCACUUGCAUCCCCAGGACGGAAAUCCUUGGAUUUAUUUAUCUGAUACUUUCGAGAACAUCGAUCAUAUAAUAUUCUCUUAAUCGUUUUUUACUUUUUUUUAUAAUUCAUUGAUUCGUAUGCUUGUCUUCUAAAUUUGAAAUGUUAGAUUCCUAUACCCUUUAUUAUAUAUAAACGUUCCAAGCUCUUCUUUUCUUCAUCCCACAAAAAUGGAACUUGCUUUGUAUAAUUCUCUACUUAUUUCAGCCAUUUUCUUCAUCCCUCUCCUGCUUUACUUUCUGCGUCACAAGAAGCUGGGGUCAACAGAAAAUGAGGCACAAACACUAUCACAGUUACUACAGCAGACGCCACCAGGCAGCAGCGGAUGGCCCUUGAUCGGUGAAACUGUAGAAUAUCUAUCCACCACCAAGGCAGGUAUCCCUGAAAAAUUUAUAAACGAUAGAAGGAAGAAAUACUCCUCCAAGCUCUUUAAGACGUCUUUGCUUGGCCAACCUAUGGUUCUUUUGUGCAAUGCUGAGGGAAACAAAUUUGUUUUCUCCAAUGAGAAUAGGCUUUUCACGACCUGGUGGCCUAGCUCCAUCGAUAAAUUCUUUGACACUCACAACGCAUCCAAGAGCGAGGAGGCCAUGAAAAUGCGCAAAUUUGUGACCCCAGUUCUGAAGCCAGACACACUUCGCAAGUAUGUGCAUAUUAUAGAUGCAAAGACAAGACAGCAUCUACGGGCACAUUGGGAUGGCAAACAAGUUAUUGAGGUACACCCUUUCGCCAAGGAUCUGACAUUUGUGUUAGCUUGUCGACUGCUCUUAGGCAUUCAUGAUGAGGAAGCAAUUGCGCAAUUUCAGAAGCCAUUUGGCCACUUUUCAGCAGGGCUUCUUUCGUUGCCUGUAGAUCUUCCAGGGACGAAUUUCAGGCGCGCUAUCAAGGCUGCCAAGGAGCUCAGGAAGGAGUUUGAAGUUAUGAUCAAGCGUUGGAAGAGUGACAGGUCACCAUCCCAAUCACAGGGUAUAUUGUCCCAACAUCUACUAGAGCUGAAUGAGGAGGGACAAGAAGAAUCCCAAAUGGCAACCAGGAUUUUAGCCUUGAUAAGUGCUUCUUAUGACAAUGUAAGCACCGCAAUGACUUUUGUCGUCAAGUAUCUAGCAGAGAUGCCCAACGUGUUCGAUGCAGUCUUGAGAGAGCAAAGCGAGAUUGCCAGAGAAAAAGAAGUGGAUGAGCCCUUGAAUUGGGAUGACAUACAAAAGAUGAGGUAUUCAUGGAAUGUGGCAAGUGAAGUGUUGCGACUCCAUCCACCAGCUAAUGGAGCUUUCAGAGAGGUCAUCACCAAUUUCUCAUAUGCUGGAUUUCUCAUUCCCAAAGGCUGGAAGCUGCACUGGAAUGCAUUCGCCACGCAUAAAAGUCCAGAAUACUUCCCGGACCCAGAA
This 1561-nucleotide unclassified non-coding RNA is filed under the name Hevea brasiliensis (rubber tree). The record is from RNAcentral. Lineage: Eukaryota; Viridiplantae; Streptophyta; Magnoliopsida; Malpighiales; Euphorbiaceae.